UAGGGUUGAAGGUCGAGAGCGUGGAAGCUUUACGAUGAUCCUCAACUGAUGAUUAUAUAAUGUAUAAAUAUAUUUCGCUGGGCUAUCUCUUAACUGCCGCGAAAUCUCUCGGAUUAUUUAGGAAUUUUGUGAAGGAAAUUGAAGCUAUAUUUUGCAUUUCGACUGAGAAGAGAGACAUCCGCUGACCACAAUGAAGUCUUCUUAAUCAGACUCAUGCCAGUACGAUUCAGCAAAGUGUUUGUUUUUUUGUAUGUA
RNAcentral lists this long non-coding RNA (255 nucleotides) under Drosophila guanche. The record is from RNAcentral. Lineage: Eukaryota; Metazoa; Arthropoda; Insecta; Diptera; Drosophilidae.